RNAcentral lists this ribosomal RNA (434 nucleotides) under uncultured Clostridium sp. RNAcentral's name for it is "partial 16S ribosomal RNA". It matches the Rfam family "Bacterial small subunit ribosomal RNA", at positions 341 to 792 of the family's 1533-position model. Lineage: Bacteria; Bacillati; Bacillota; Clostridia; Eubacteriales; Clostridiaceae. The record is from RNAcentral.
ACGGGAGGCAGCAGUGGGGAAUAUUGCACAAUGGGGGAAACCCUGAUGCAGCGACGCCGCGUGAGUGAAGAAGUAUUUCGGUAUGUAAAGCUCUAUCAGCAGGGAAGAUAAUGACGGUACCUGACUAAGAAGCCCCGGCUAACUACGUGCCAGCAGCCGCGGUAAUACGUAGGGGGCAAGCGUUAUCCGGAUUUACUGGGUGUAAAGGGAGCGCAGACGGCCAUGCAAGUCUGAAGUGAAAUCCACGGGCCCAACCCGUGAACUGCUUUGGAAACUGUAAGGCUAGAGUGCAGGAGAGGUAAGUGGAAUUCCUAGUGUAGCGGUGAAAUGCGUAGAUAUUAGGAGGAACACCAGUGGCGAAGGCGGCUUACUGGACUGUAACUGACGUUGAGGCUCGAAAGCGUGGGGAGCAAACAGGAUUAGAUACCCUGGUA